This 73-nucleotide transfer RNA is filed under the name Hoyosella rhizosphaerae. It matches the Rfam family "tRNA". Rfam says of the family: Transfer RNA (tRNA) molecules are approximately 80 nucleotides in length. Their secondary structure includes four short double-helical elements and three loops (D, anti-codon, and T loops). Lineage: Bacteria; Bacillati; Actinomycetota; Actinomycetes; Mycobacteriales; Hoyosellaceae. RNAcentral also lists the same sequence under 1 other name. The record is from Rfam by way of RNAcentral.
GGGGCCAUAGCUCAAUUGGUAGAGCACCGCCUUUGCAAGGCGGGGGUUAGGGGUUCGAUUCCCCUUGGCUCCA